RNAcentral lists this ribosomal RNA (403 nucleotides) under Verrucomicrobiota bacterium. Its description in RNAcentral is "Verrucomicrobia bacterium partial 16S ribosomal RNA". It matches the Rfam family "Bacterial small subunit ribosomal RNA", at positions 355 to 776 of the family's 1533-position model. The record is from RNAcentral. Lineage: Bacteria; Pseudomonadati; Verrucomicrobiota.
UGGGGAAUAUUGCACAAUGGGCGCAAGCCUGAUGCAGCAACGCCGCGUGAACGAUGAAGGUCUUCGGAUCGUAAAGUUCUGUUGCAGGGGAAGAUAAUGACGGUACCCUGUGAGGAAGCCCCGGCUAACUACGUGCCAGCAGCCGCGGUAAUACGUAGGGGGCUAGCGUUAUCCGGAUUUACUGGGCGUAAAGGGUGCGUAGGUGGUCUUUCAAGUCGGUGGUUAAAGGCUACGGCUCAACCGUAGUUAGCCUCCGAAACUGGAAGACUUGAGUGCUGGAGAGGAAAGUGGAAUUCCCAGUGUAGCGGUGAAAUGCGUAGAUAUUGGGAGGAACACCAGUAGCGAAGGCGGCUUUCUGGACUGCAACUGACACUGAGGCACGAAAGCGUGGGUAGCAAACAGG